This 94-nucleotide transfer RNA is filed under the name Cognatundibacterium squillarum. Its description in RNAcentral is "Undibacterium squillarum tRNA-His". Lineage: Bacteria; Pseudomonadati; Pseudomonadota; Betaproteobacteria; Burkholderiales; Oxalobacteraceae. The record is from RNAcentral.
GCUCGAACUGGCGAAGCGCGGUGCUAAAGUCGUUGUGAAUGAUUUGGGUGCCGCCCGUGACGGCAGUGGCGGUUCAGGCUUCGCCGCUGAAGCA